RNAcentral lists this ribosomal RNA (2904 nucleotides) under Escherichia coli 1.2264. Its description in RNAcentral is "bacterial LSU rRNA". It matches the Rfam family "Bacterial large subunit ribosomal RNA". The record is from RNAcentral. Lineage: Bacteria; Pseudomonadati; Pseudomonadota; Gammaproteobacteria; Enterobacterales; Enterobacteriaceae.
GGUUAAGCGACUAAGCGUACACGGUGGAUGCCCUGGCAGUCAGAGGCGAUGAAGGACGUGCUAAUCUGCGAUAAGCGUCGGUAAGGUGAUAUGAACCGUUAUAACCGGCGAUUUCCGAAUGGGGAAACCCAGUGUGAUUCGUCACACUAUCAUUAACUGAAUCCAUAGGUUAAUGAGGCGAACCGGGGGAACUGAAACAUCUAAGUACCCCGAGGAAAAGAAAUCAACCGAGAUUCCCCCAGUAGCGGCGAGCGAACGGGGAGCAGCCCAGAGCCUGAAUCAGUGUGUGUGUUAGUGGAAGCGUCUGGAAAGGCGCGCGAUACAGGGUGACAGCCCCGUACACAAAAAUGCACAUACUGUGAGCUCGAUGAGUAGGGCGGGACACGUGGUAUCCUGUCUGAAUAUGGGGGGACCAUCCUCCAAGGCUAAAUACUCCUGACUGACCGAUAGUGAACCAGUACCGUGAGGGAAAGGCGAAAAGAACCCCGGCGAGGGGAGUGAAAAAGAACCUGAAACCGUGUACGUACAAGCAGUGGGAGCACGCUUAGGCGUGUGACUGCGUACCUUUUGUAUAAUGGGUCAGCGACUUAUAUUCUGUAGCAAGGUUAACCGAAUAGGGGAGCCGAAGGGAAACCGAGUCUUAACUGGGCGUUAAGUUGCAGGGUAUAGACCCGAAACCCGGUGAUCUAGCCAUGGGCAGGUUGAAGGUUGGGUAACACUAACUGGAGGACCGAACCGACUAAUGUUGAAAAAUUAGCGGAUGACUUGUGGCUGGGGGUGAAAGGCCAAUCAAACCGGGAGAUAGCUGGUUCUCCCCGAAAGCUAUUUAGGUAGCGCCUCGUGAAUUCAUCUCCGGGGGUAGAGCACUGUUUCGGCAAGGGGGUCAUCCCGACUUACCAACCCGAUGCAAACUGCGAAUACCGGAGAAUGUUAUCACGGGAGACACACGGCGGGUGCUAACGUCCGUCGUGAAGAGGGAAACAACCCAGACCGCCAGCUAAGGUCCCAAAGUCAUGGUUAAGUGGGAAACGAUGUGGGAAGGCCCAGACAGCCAGGAUGUUGGCUUAGAAGCAGCCAUCAUUUAAAGAAAGCGUAAUAGCUCACUGGUCGAGUCGGCCUGCGCGGAAGAUGUAACGGGGCUAAACCAUGCACCGAAGCCGCGGCAGCGACGCUUAUGCGUUGUUGGGUAGGGGAGCGUUCUGUAAGCCUGCGAAGGUGUGCUGUGAGGCAUGCUGGAGGUAUCAGAAGUGCGAAUGCUGACAUAAGUAACGAUAAAGCGGGUGAAAAGCCCGCUCGCCGGAAGACCAAGGGUUCCUGUCCAACGUUAAUCGGGGCAGGGUGAGUCGACCCCUAAGGCGAGGCCGAAAGGCGUAGUCGAUGGGAAACAGGUUAAUAUUCCUGUACUUGGUGUUACUGCGAAGGGGGGACGGAGAAGGCUAUGUUGGCCGGGCGACGGUUGUCCCGGUUUAAGCGUGUAGGCUGGUUUUCCAGGCAAAUCCGGAAAAUCAAGGCUGAGGCGUGAUGACGAGGCACUACGGUGCUGAAGCAACAAAUGCCCUGCUUCCAGGAAAAGCCUCUAAGCAUCAGGUAACAUCAAAUCGUACCCCAAACCGACACAGGUGGUCAGGUAGAGAAUACCAAGGCGCUUGAGAGAACUCGGGUGAAGGAACUAGGCAAAAUGGUGCCGUAACUUCGGGAGAAGGCACGCUGAUAUGUAGGUGAAGUCCCUCGCGGAUGGAGCUGAAAUCAGUCGAAGAUACCAGCUGGCUGCAACUGUUUAUUAAAAACACAGCACUGUGCAAACACGAAAGUGGACGUAUACGGUGUGACGCCUGCCCGGUGCCGGAAGGUUAAUUGAUGGGGUUAGCGCAAGCGAAGCUCUUGAUCGAAGCCCCGGUAAACGGCGGCCGUAACUAUAACGGUCCUAAGGUAGCGAAAUUCCUUGUCGGGUAAGUUCCGACCUGCACGAAUGGCGUAAUGAUGGCCAGGCUGUCUCCACCCGAGACUCAGUGAAAUUGAACUCGCUGUGAAGAUGCAGUGUACCCGCGGCAAGACGGAAAGACCCCGUGAACCUUUACUAUAGCUUGACACUGAACAUUGAGCCUUGAUGUGUAGGAUAGGUGGGAGGCUUUGAAGUGUGGACGCCAGUCUGCAUGGAGCCGACCUUGAAAUACCACCCUUUAAUGUUUGAUGUUCUAACGUGGACCCGUAAUCCGGGUUGCGGACAGUGUCUGGUGGGUAGUUUGACUGGGGCGGUCUCCUCCUAAAGAGUAACGGAGGAGCACGAAGGUUGGCUAAUCCUGGUCGGACAUCAGGAGGUUAGUGCAAUGGCAUAAGCCAGCUUGACUGCGAGCGUGACGGCGCGAGCAGGUGCGAAAGCAGGUCAUAGUGAUCCGGUGGUUCUGAAUGGAAGGGCCAUCGCUCAACGGAUAAAAGGUACUCCGGGGAUAACAGGCUGAUACCGCCCAAGAGUUCAUAUCGACGGCGGUGUUUGGCACCUCGAUGUCGGCUCAUCACAUCCUGGGGCUGAAGUAGGUCCCAAGGGUAUGGCUGUUCGCCAUUUAAAGUGGUACGCGAGCUGGGUUUAGAACGUCGUGAGACAGUUCGGUCCCUAUCUGCCGUGGGCGCUGGAGAACUGAGGGGGGCUGCUCCUAGUACGAGAGGACCGGAGUGGACGCAUCACUGGUGUUCGGGUUGUCAUGCCAAUGGCACUGCCCGGUAGCUAAAUGCGGAAGAGAUAAGUGCUGAAAGCAUCUAAGCACGAAACUUGCCCCGAGAUGAGUUCUCCCUGACUCCUUGAGAGUCCUGAAGGAACGUUGAAGACGACGACGUUGAUAGGCCGGGUGUGUAAGCGCAGCGAUGCGUUGAGCUAACCGGUACUAAUGAACCGUGAGGCUUAACCUU